UGAGUAAAUCGGAUGGUCGCAUGCAUAUAUGUGCAUGAGGAAAGUCCGGGCUCCAUAGGGCAGGAUGCCGGGUAACACCCGGUGAAGGCGACUUCAAGGAAAGUGCAACAGAAAUAUACCGCCAUUUUUAUGGUAAGGGUGGAAAGGUGAGGUAAGAGCUCACCAGCGAUUAGGCGACUAAUCGGCUAUGUAAACCCCAUCUGGAGCAAGAUCAAAUAGGGAAGCUAAUUAGGUGGCCCGCCUAGCUUCCGGGUAAGAUCGCUAGAGUCUGCUGGCAACAGCAGAUCGAGAUAGAUGACCAUCUAAGACAGAACCCGGCUUACAGAUUUACUCAUUUU
This 338-nucleotide RNase P RNA is filed under the name Clostridiales bacterium. RNAcentral describes it as "RNase P RNA component class A". It matches the Rfam family "Bacterial RNase P class A". From Rfam's summary of the family: Ribonuclease P (RNase P) is a ubiquitous endoribonuclease, found in archaea, bacteria and eukarya as well as chloroplasts and mitochondria. Its best characterised activity is the generation of mature 5'-ends of tRNAs by cleaving the 5'-leader elements of precursor-tRNAs. The record is from RNAcentral. Lineage: Bacteria; Bacillati; Bacillota; Clostridia; Eubacteriales.